RNAcentral lists this long non-coding RNA (353 nucleotides) under Homo sapiens (human). Its description in RNAcentral is "HSALNT0377938". Lineage: Eukaryota; Metazoa; Chordata; Mammalia; Primates; Hominidae. The record is from RNAcentral.
ACUGGCGGCCGAGGUUCCGCGCUGAAGAGGAGGGAGGAGGGGGGCCCGGCCUGGCAGGUCGUGGCCCUGUGGGGCAAAACCCUGCAGGGCCACGUGAUGGGACCUGGGCUGGUCCCUGCGGCGCCACUUAGCAACGGGCUGCAAGAAGAGACGACUUCGGAGGGCCCAGGGUCCUUUGAGCUCCUAGAGGUCCCGUGUGGAACCAUCUGGAAGAGGUAGGAUCCCCUCGCGAGUUUACCCCGGACGUGUGGCGAAUAAAGUUAAGCAUUUUUAACGGUAGGACACAAGAUGGUGCUAUCUAUGAGGAACAGGCCCUCAGCAGACACCAGAUCUGCUGGUGCCUUGAUCUUGGA